ACGGAGGGUGCAAGCGUUACUCGGAAUCACUGGGCGUAAAGGAUGCGUAGGCUGGAAAUCAAGUCGAAAGUGAAAUCCAACGGCUCAACCGUUGAACUGCUUUCGAAACUGGUUACCUAGAAUAUGGGAGAGGUAGAUGGAAUUAGUGGUGGAGGGGUUAAUGCCGUAUAUAUCACUAGGAAUAAUGAUUGCGAAGGCGAUCUACUGGAACAUUAUUGACGCUGAGGCGUGAAACAGUGUGAUGCAGUCAG
RNAcentral lists this ribosomal RNA (251 nucleotides) under uncultured prokaryote. RNAcentral's name for it is "partial 16S rRNA". It matches the Rfam family "Bacterial small subunit ribosomal RNA", at positions 525 to 775 of the family's 1533-position model. The record is from RNAcentral.